This 487-nucleotide ribosomal RNA is filed under the name Hylophorbus sp. 'Mt. Obree'. RNAcentral's name for it is "partial large subunit ribosomal RNA". Lineage: Eukaryota; Metazoa; Chordata; Amphibia; Anura; Microhylidae. The record is from RNAcentral.
GCUGGUUAUUCAGGAAAAGGAUCUAAGUCCAAUUUUAAUUCUUCACAUAAUACAAAAUAUGCCCAUAGGCUUAAAAUUCACUCAAAUAAGGUACAGCCUAUUUGAAACAGGAGACAACCUACAACAUAGGGUAAUGCUUAAACCAAUGUAGUCAAGUAGGCCCAAAAGCAGCCAUCUUUAAAAAAGCGUUAAAGCUUUACCACACUUAAUUGUUAAUCCCAAUCUAACCCCCAAAACCCCUCACCCAUACUGAAUGACUCUAUACUUUUAUAGAAGCCCUCAUGCUAGAACUAGUAACAAGAAUACCCCUUCUCCUACAAAUGUAAGUGUAAGCCAAAAUGGACCCUCCACCGGCACUCACCGCCAAUGAAUCGGCAGUAGCAACCAACAAGAAAACCCUACUUCACCMGGCGUUAACCUUACACAAGAACUUUUCUGGAAAGAUUAAAAAAAGAGGAAGGAACUCGGCAAACAUUAACCCCGCCUG